This 258-nucleotide ribosomal RNA is filed under the name uncultured bacterium. RNAcentral describes it as "partial 16S ribosomal RNA". The record is from RNAcentral.
CUGCUGCCUUCCGUAGGAGUCUGGUCCGUGUCUCAGUACCAGUGUGGGGGACCUUCCUCUCAGAACCCCUACGCAUCGUCGUCUUGGUGGUCCGUUACACCGCCAACUAACUAAUGCGACGCAUGCCCAUCCGCCACCGGAAUUAACCUUUGGCACCAACAGGAUGUCCCGUCGAUGCAUUAUGCCGUAUUAGACGGAAUUUCUCCCGAUUAUCCCGGCUGUGGCAGGCAGGUUGCAUACGUGUUACUCACCCGUGCG